AGUGAACGCUGGCGGCAGGCCUAACACAUGCAAGUCGAACGGCAGCACAAGAGAGCUUGCUCUCUGGGUGGCGAGUGGCGGACGGGUGAGGAAUGCAUCGGAAUCUGCCCAUUUGUGGGGGAUAACCUCGGGAAACCGGGACUAAUACCGCAUACGACCUACGGGUGAAAGCAGGGGAUCUUCGGACCUUGCGCAGAUGGAUGAGCCGAUGCCGGAUUAGCUAGUUGGAGGGGUAAAGGCCCACCAAGGCGACGAUCCGUAGCUGGUCUGAGAGGAUGAUCAGCCACACUGGGACUGAGACACGGCCCAGACUCCUACGGGAGGCAGCAGUGGGGAAUAUUGGACAAUGGGCGCAAGCCUGAUCCAGCCAUGCCGCGUGUGUGAAGAAGGCCUUCGGGUUGUAAAGCACUUUUGUUGGGAAAGAAAAGCAGCCGGUUAAUACCCGGUUGUCAUGACGGUACCCAAGGAAUAAGCACCGGCUAACUUCGUG
Molecule: ribosomal RNA, 490 nt
Filed under: uncultured bacterium
Lineage: Bacteria
Description: partial 16S ribosomal RNA
Rfam family: Bacterial small subunit ribosomal RNA
Source: RNAcentral